AUUCUCCUGAAACAGAAACGAAAAAUGACAGCGUUAGUCGGACGAGCAUAGAUGGCGUUGUAGUACGGGAAAAGAAAAAGCAGAGCCUUCGAGUCGCGACGAUAGAAAUGUAGAAAGAUAUCAGAGAUAUCAUUUUGAAUAAUAUCAUUUUUCUUAUAACUUCGAGAUCGACAGUCUCAUAAUUUUUAAGAUAUUUGAAGAGAAAGAUCGUAUUCGAUACAUAAUUUGUUCAACGUAUUAUAUCUAAGAAGAUUCCAGUGCAGGGGUAAUAUUAAUUUUCUUCUACCCGUAGACCACUACUGUGCGCGUAACACGAACGUAAAUGUUCCCGUAACGUGCACACGUAUAUAACAUAAUACUCGCAUGAAAAUUAUCGAAUAUACGGCAAAAAAUCCGAUAUUCCCUUGGCCGGCCGCUGACCGAAGAGGAUUGUAAAAUUAUAAGCGCAAACUGCCAGGAUCUUUAACCCAUGUCAAGAUUUUUAUCGAUGAGAUAUCGAAUCGGCGGGCGUUUCCACAUUUUAACCGAUAACUAAUAAAUUCCGGUGGACGCUUAUUCCGUUUCGUAUUCCAUCCCUCCAGUUAAAUUUUCGCCCAAGAUCGCGGAUAAAUCGAUCGUAUCGCUUUCAUUGGAUCGGCUACCCGUCUCGUUCUUAUUAUUUUUCGCUGUUUACACAGGACGGAGACCACCUGAAAGGGGAAAAAAUUAAGGAGCAACAGCGGGGAAAGAAAGAAAAAAAACAGAGAGCAACAUUGCCUUCAUCGUCACGGUGAGAUGGAGCAAGUUUUCCUAAUUCUAGGAGGAGUGGAGGGAACGACAGAACAAAAAGCUGUGUACGAGCACGAAUGACAAGAGGAAAGAAAGAGCGUGUAGCCAUCCGAGGUAAAUCAUAAACUGGAUGGAUGUAGGUAGGAAGGAAGGAAGGAAGGAAGGAAGGAAGGGAAGUGGAAAGGUGGCACGUGUAAUCUCGUUGACGCAAGGCAACCCACUCGUGGAAGAAGGGAAUUUCGUCGUUGAAGAUACUCGCGCGUUCCUUAUUAAAAGUCUUACUGAAAGUCGAGUAAAUCAUAUUGCUUCUGGACCAUUCUCGCGUUAGAAUAGAUUCGAGACUAAAUCAUGUCGAGAGAAUUAUUUUUUACCGAUGAAUAUCGCGUUAAGAGCGAAAGUGUAUGCAUUUCAAAACUUGUUCAACGUUCGUAUGAUUUCAUAUCUUUAUUAUUAAAACUGAUUAAUACUGGUAAUCUCGGAAACUUUAUCGACGCAUGGAAUAAUAUAUCAAACGAACGUUCAUUAAAAUUCAUUAAGAAAGAUGUUAAAUUAAAGACAACAACACGUUUCUAGAAUCGUAAAUUCCAGACAUUACUAUUGGUUGAUGAAAAUUGAAAAUGAAAAAAUAAAUUAAUUAUUAAUCAUAAACUAUUUAUGUAUUUUGCAAAAAGAGAGGUAAUUUAAAGUGUUUAAUUCUAAAUAUUCUAAAUAUCUUGUAUAUAAAAUGUAUUUAUGAUAUCAUCAUAUCAUAGCGAUGUCGAGUAAAAUGGAAAAUUAAAUACGAUAAGAAAACGAUAAA
Long non-coding RNA from Apis cerana (Asiatic honeybee), 1567 nucleotides. RefSeq lists it as uncharacterized. NCBI's taxonomy places the organism in Eukaryota, Metazoa, Arthropoda, Insecta, Hymenoptera, Apidae. The record is from RefSeq and is a predicted model, not a curated record.